This 428-nucleotide ribosomal RNA is filed under the name Streptomyces finlayi. RNAcentral's name for it is "bacterial SSU rRNA". It matches the Rfam family "Bacterial small subunit ribosomal RNA", at positions 11 to 442 of the family's 1533-position model. Lineage: Bacteria; Bacillati; Actinomycetota; Actinomycetes; Kitasatosporales; Streptomycetaceae. The record is from RNAcentral.
GUUUGGNNNNUGGCUCAGGACGAACGCUGGCGGCGUGCUUAACACAUGCAAGUCGAACGAUGAAGCCCUUCGGGGUGGAUUAGUGGCGAACGGGUGAGUAACACGUGGGCAAUCUGCCCUUCACUCUGGGACAAGCCCUGGAAACGGGGUCUAAUACCGGAUAACACUCUGUCCUGCAUGGGACGGGGUUAAAAGCUCCGGCGGUGAAGGAUGAGCCCGCGGCCUAUCAGCUUGUUGGUGGGGUAAUGGCCUACCAAGGCGACGACGGGUAGCCGGCCUGAGAGGGCGACCGGCCACACUGGGACUGAGACACGGCCCAGACUCCUACGGGAGGCAGCAGUGGGGAAUAUUGCACAAUGGGCGAAAGCCUGAUGCAGCGACGCCGCGUGAGGGAUGACGGCCUUCGGGUUGUAAACCUCUUUCAGCAG